RNAcentral lists this ribosomal RNA (411 nucleotides) under Oceanospirillum sediminis. RNAcentral describes it as "bacterial SSU rRNA". It matches the Rfam family "Bacterial small subunit ribosomal RNA", at positions 1128 to 1533 of the family's 1533-position model. Lineage: Bacteria; Pseudomonadati; Pseudomonadota; Gammaproteobacteria; Oceanospirillales; Oceanospirillaceae. The record is from RNAcentral.
CGGCUGAGAACUCUAGGGAGACUGCCGGUGACAAACCGGAGGAAGGUGGGGACGACGUCAAGUCAUCAUGGCCCUUACGACCAGGGCUACACACGUGCUACAAUGGCCGGUACAGAGGGCUGCAAUAUCGCGAGAUGGAGCUAAUCCCACAAAACCGGUCGUAGUCCGGAUUGGAGUCUGCAACUCGACUCCAUGAAGUCGGAAUCGCUAGUAAUCGUGAAUCAGAAUGUCACGGUGAAUACGUUCCCGGGCCUUGUACACACCGCCCGUCACACCAUGGGAGUGGGUUGCUCCAGAAGUGGCUAGUCUAACCUUCGGGAGGACGGUCACCACGGAGUGAUUCAUGACUGGGGUGAAGUCGUAACAAGGUAGCCGUAGGGGAACCUGCGGCUGGAUCACCUCCUUAAACGA